AUUGAACGCUGGCGGUAGGCCUAACACAUGCAAGUCGAACGCGAAAGUCCUUCGGGAUGAGUAGAGUGGCGGACGGGUGAGUAACGCGUAGGAAUCUAUCCUGUAGUGGGGGAUAACGUUUCGAAAGGAACGCUAAUACCGCAUACGCCCAACGGGGAAAGCGGGGGAGUCUUCGGACCUCGUGCUAUAGGAGGAGCCUGCGUCGGAUUAGCUAGUUGGUGAGGUAAAGGCUCACCAAGGCGACGAUCCGUAGCUGGUCUGAGAGGAUGAUCCGCCACACUGGGACUGAGACACGGCCCAGACUCCUACGGGAGGCAGCAGUGGGGAAUUUUGGACAAUGGGCGCAAGCCUGAUCCAGCCAUGCCGCGUGAGUGGAGAAGGCCUUC
This 386-nucleotide ribosomal RNA is filed under the name uncultured bacterium. Its description in RNAcentral is "bacterial SSU rRNA". It matches the Rfam family "Bacterial small subunit ribosomal RNA", at positions 30 to 419 of the family's 1533-position model. The record is from RNAcentral.